This 427-nucleotide ribosomal RNA is filed under the name uncultured bacterium. RNAcentral describes it as "bacterial SSU rRNA". It matches the Rfam family "Bacterial small subunit ribosomal RNA", at positions 355 to 774 of the family's 1533-position model. The record is from RNAcentral.
UGGGGAAUUUUGGACAAUGGACGCAAGUCUGAUCCAGCCAUGCCGCGUGCGGGAAGAAGGCCUUCGGGUUGUAAACCGCUUUUGUCAGGGAAGAAACGAGUUUCUCUAAUACAGAGACUUAAUGACGGUACCUGAAGAAUAAGCACCGGCUAACUUCGUGCCAGCAGCCGCGGUAAUACGAAGGGUGCAAGCGUUACUCGGAAUUACUGGGCGUAAAGCGUGCGUAGGUGGUUGUUUAAGUCUGCUGUGAAAGCCCUGGGCUCAACCUGGGAAUUGCAGUGGAUACUGGGCGACUAGAGUGUGGUAGAGGACAGUGGAAUUUCCGGUGUAGCAGUGAAAUGCGUAGAGAUCGGAAGGAACACCGAUGGCGAAGGCAAUCCCCUGGACCUGUACUGACGCUCAUGCACGAAAGCGUGGGGAGCAAACA